Saccostrea cuccullata (small rock oyster) is the source of this 1687-nucleotide long non-coding RNA. RefSeq lists it as uncharacterized. The transcript is spliced from 3 exons. NCBI's taxonomy places the organism in Eukaryota, Metazoa, Mollusca, Bivalvia, Ostreida, Ostreidae. The record is from RefSeq and is a predicted model, not a curated record.
UAACAAGAUUCUCGGGAAAAUGUCGGGAUAUUUCUUAAAGGUGUACAAAAUACCCCUACACCGUGUCUGCAGCAUUCUCUCGCGCAAACUUCCGAGAGGUGGUACAAAAAAGUGAUCUUCGAUCAAUUAGUACCUGAUGUAUAAAUUAUAUUUUACUGUCAACUCAGCUUUGAAAUUUAUUUUGUCAGAAAAUAUUCGCUAAAAUAGAUUUUCUUUUUGUAAAAAAAAAAAAAAACGUAAAUUCACAUGAAUCACAAAUUAUUUUCAAGAAUAAACAAACCGAAUUUUCUUGGUGUGGCACGAAAUAACUUUACACCGUCCUGUAUCAUCCUCUCGCGAGACUUCAUCGAGAAGCGCAAAAUAGGAGUUCAAGGAGCGGCAAUGUUUAGAGAGACUGGUGAAAUGCAAUGAAAUGCACAACUUACGCCCAUGAUUGACUCUAAUUCUUCACAUAAACCAUGUUCUCUCUCCCAAAAAUCUUGGUUUCGCUAGGAGUGCAGUAAAGGGAAUGUUGGAAGAAGUGUAGAUAUCAUGGCCACAGACCAGUGGGGUAAGUGGCGAGUGGUUCCUUGUAAUAUGUAUUUAAACACACAAAUAUUGUUGAAUAAUUUAGUGCAUGUGAUGUGUUGUAUAAUAUUUCAAUACUGAAACAGAAGAAACGAUUUGAAUAUGUGUAAAAGGUUUUUGUGCAUACUGUGAUUCAGUCUAGUCCAUGAAGAUCAAACGUAGAUACACAGUGAAAUAUUUCCAGGUUUUGCAUGUUUAAAUUUAGUAAGCAGAAGACUUAUAAACAAAUAUUUAUUAUCAGUUACUGUUAAAUUUGCAUUGAAUGUUUUGACAUGGUGUAAAUUUUGGAAUUAUACUCUUAAAUAAAGCCUUCAUUGCAUUGUUAUCUUCUAGCUUAAACCUUGAAGCCUGGCAAGGAUUAUGAGACUGGAAACUCCCAUUGAGACUACCAAAUGAAGAGAAAGUUUCAGACUGUUUAACUCGGACUAAGGGAAAAGAAGCAAAUUACAACAAGGAGGAUAUUGCCGAGAAAGCAAAGACAAGUGAAAAGUCGAGUGAAGAAAAAGCAAACAAGGCUUCACGAUCUGCAACUAGGCCACUGGCGAUGAAGAAGAAAAAUGUACAGCUAAAGAAGAUACAUCAGUGAUCAACUAAAGCUGGGCGACUUAUAUUGGAUUGACGAGGUGCAGGGGGUAUAUUAAUUUGGGUCUGUUUAUCUUUGUCAAUCUGUCUGUCUGUAACACUUUGUUCUCUUAACAUUUCCAAAAAGCCAUCAGAUAUUGCAAUGACGUUUUAUAUUAUAACUCAUUUUGACGAUCCCACUGCAGAACAUGAUGAAUCAUCAAUACAAAUUUAAUAUUGUUUAUAAAUUAAAUAUUACCCUUAUAUAUUUUGAAGUGAAAUGGUCAGGGGGGAUAAAUAAAAAUAAAAAUAAAAUAGUAUUGCAUUAUACCAAUUAUUGUGAAAGUUGAGAAAAUAUAUUUAUUGUGGUAAAUUACUACAUUGACAUUGAAAUGUAACUAUUAAUUCCAAUUUGGUGUAUACAAUAGCAGUUACUGUAUUAUUGUAAUUGUUUAUUACAUACUUCAGUUUACAUCUACGAUAAAGAUAUUAAAUUGUGAAAAAGUUAAUUUGUUACAACUACUGUAAAUAUUUGUACAUUUUUAGCAUAUUUCUCUAU